Mus musculus (house mouse) is the source of this 276-nucleotide long non-coding RNA. RefSeq annotates it as predicted gene 6626. The transcript is spliced from 4 exons. The record is from RefSeq and is a predicted model, not a curated record. NCBI's taxonomy places the organism in Eukaryota, Metazoa, Chordata, Mammalia, Rodentia, Muridae.
GUCUAUGAAGUGCAGUGUGGGUAUCCUGUACUUAUGGUUAUUAUUCACUUGAUGCAGUGACUUAUGAUGAUGUGGAUGUGAAUUUCACUGGGGAAGAGUGAAAUUUGCUGGAUCCUUCUCAGAAGAGUCUCUACAAAGAUGUGAUGCUGGAGACCUACUGGAACCUCACGGUUAUAGGCUACACUUGGGAAAACCAUCAUAUUGAAGGACAUUGUCAAAGUUCAAGAAGAAAUGAAAGGUAUGUAAGUAAUCAUAGUGGAGAGAAACUCUAUGAAU